GCUGGUCAAGGUGGCUCAUGCCUGUAAUCCCAGCCACUUGGGAGGCUGAGGCAGGAGGAUUGUGAGUUCAGAGCCAGCCUCAG
This 83-nucleotide small RNA is filed under the name Marmota monax (woodchuck). Lineage: Eukaryota; Metazoa; Chordata; Mammalia; Rodentia; Sciuridae. The record is from RNAcentral.